CCUACGGGAGGCAGCAGUGAGGAAUAUUGGUCAAUGGGAGAGAUCCUGAACCAGCCAAGCCGCGUGAGGGAAGACGGCCCUAUGGGUUGUAAACCUCUUUUGUCGGAGAACAAAACCCGGGACGUGUCCCGGACUGCGUGUAUCCGAAGAAAAAGCAUCGGCUAACUCCGUGCCAGCAGCCGCGGUAAUACGGAGGAUGCGAGCGUUAUCCGGAUUUAUUGGGUUUAAAGGGUGCGUAGGCGGUCCGUUAAGUCAGCGGUAAAAUGGCGGGGCUCAACCCUGUCGAGCCGUUGAACCUGGCAGACUUGAGUUGGCGAGAAGUACGCGGAAUGCGCGGUGUAGCGGUGAAAUGCAUAGAUAUCGCGCAGAACUCCGAUUGCGAAGGCAGCGUACCGGCGCCAGACUGACGCUGAGGCACGAAAGCGUGGGGAUCGAACAGGAUUAGAUACCCUAGUAGUC
RNAcentral lists this ribosomal RNA (459 nucleotides) under uncultured bacterium. Its description in RNAcentral is "partial 16S ribosomal RNA". It matches the Rfam family "Bacterial small subunit ribosomal RNA", at positions 338 to 795 of the family's 1533-position model. The record is from RNAcentral.